This 459-nucleotide ribosomal RNA is filed under the name uncultured bacterium. RNAcentral's name for it is "partial 16S ribosomal RNA". It matches the Rfam family "Bacterial small subunit ribosomal RNA", at positions 338 to 795 of the family's 1533-position model. The record is from RNAcentral.
CCUACGGGUGGCUGCAGUGAGGAAUAUUGGUCAAUGGGCGCGAGCCUGAACCAGCCAAGUCGCGUGAGGGAAGACGGUCCUAUGGAUUGUAAACCUCUUUUGUCGGGGAGCAAAAGACGCCACGCGUGGCGUUCCGAGAGUACCCGAUGAAAAAGCAUCGGCUAACUCCGUGCCAGCAGCCGCGGUAAAACGGAGGAUGCGAUGGUUAUCCGGAUUUAUUGGGUUUAAAGGGAGGGCAGGGGGAAGUUCAAGUAAGCGGUAAAAUUUAGGGGCUAAACCGCUUAGAGCCGUUGAAACUGGUUUUCUUGAGUGCGCGAGAAGUAGGCGGAAUGCGUGGUGUAGCGGUGAAAUGCAGAGAUAUCACGAAGAACUCCGAUUGCGAAGGCAGCAUACCGGCGCUCAACUGACGCUGAUGCACGAAAGUGUGGGUAUCGAACAGGAUUAGAUACCCUAGUAGUC